AAGUGUCUGAGUAGUAAGGACAUAGAGGGGAGGAGCAACCAACUUAAUUUUAACAGGACAAUCAUCGUUUCCAGCAGCUUCAGCUUUACGCAUUGCUUCCUUAAUGUGAAGAACGCCAUCAAAUUGGAAACACUUCAUCUCAAUAUCAGCUCGGACCUUCAACGGUUGGGGAGUCAUUCUUCUUCUAAUAUUCUUUAUUAGUGCAUCUUUUACAUCCUCAGACAUUGCAGGAACUAUCUUAGUUACCUCCUGUCCAUCAGGACCAGCUUCCUUUACUUCACGGGUGAGAGAAUUCAACACCGAGUCAGGGUCAGUUACAAUGAUCUUGAAUGCCUCAAAAGCAUGACCAUAUUUCCGGUACAAAGGCCAUCCA
This 373-nucleotide unclassified non-coding RNA is filed under the name Hevea brasiliensis (rubber tree). Lineage: Eukaryota; Viridiplantae; Streptophyta; Magnoliopsida; Malpighiales; Euphorbiaceae. The record is from RNAcentral.